UACGUAGGGGGCGAGCGUUGUCCGGAUUUAUUGGGCGUAAAAGGCUUGUAGGUGGCCACGCCAAGUCGGAUGUGAAAUCUCCCGGCUCAACUGGGAGGGGUCAUUCGAUACUGGCGGGCUCGAGGCCGGUAGGGGGAAGUGGAAUUCCCGGUGUAGUGGUGGAAUGCGUAGAUAUCGGGAGGAACACCAGUGGCGAAGGCGGCUUCCUGGACCGGUUCUGACACUGAGGAGCGAAAGCGUGGGGAGCGAUCCGGAUUAGAUACCCGGGUAGUCCACGCCGUAAACGUUGGGCACUAGGUGUCGGGGGUAUCGACCCCUCCGGUGCCGCAGCUAACGCAUUAAGUGCCCUGCCUGGGGAGUACGGCCGCAAGGCUAAA
RNAcentral lists this ribosomal RNA (377 nucleotides) under uncultured bacterium. RNAcentral's name for it is "bacterial SSU rRNA". It matches the Rfam family "Bacterial small subunit ribosomal RNA", at positions 524 to 898 of the family's 1533-position model. The record is from RNAcentral.